Molecule: ribosomal RNA, 1271 nt
Filed under: uncultured bacterium
Lineage: Bacteria
Description: bacterial SSU rRNA
Rfam family: Bacterial small subunit ribosomal RNA
Source: RNAcentral
GAGGAAAGUGGGGGACCUUCGGGCCUUACGCUGAUGGAGCGGCUGAUGUCGGAUUAGCUUGUUGGUAGGGUAAAGGCCUACCAAGGCGACGAUCCGUAGCUGGUCUGAGAGGACGACCAGCCACACUGGAACUGAGACACGGUCCAGACUCCUACGGGAGGCAGCAGUGGGGAAUUUUGGACAAUGGGGGCAACCCUGAUCCAGCCAUGCCGCGUGCGGGAAGAAGGCCUUCGGGUUGUAAACCGCUUUCAGACGGAAAGAAACAGUGCAAGCUAAUACCUUGUACGAAUGACGGUACCGUCAGAAGAAGCACCGGCUAACUACGUGCCAGCAGCCGCGGUAAUACGUAGGGUGCGAGCGUUAAUCGGAAUUACUGGGCGUAAAGAGUGCGCAGGCGGCUCUCUAAGACAGGUGUGAAAUCCCCGGGCUUAACCUGGGAAUGGCGCUUGUGACUGGAGAGCUAGAGUGUGGCAGAGGGGAAUGGAAUUCCUGGUGUAGCAGUGAAAUGCGUAGAUAUCAGGAGGAACACCGAUGGCGAAGGCAGUUCCCUGGGCCAACACUGACGCUCAUGCACGAAAGCGUGGGGAGCAAACAGGAUUAGAUACCCUGGUAGUCCACGCCCUAAACGAUGUCAACUAGUUGUUGGGGAAGGAGACUUCUUUAGUAACGUAGCUAACGCGUGAAGUUGACCGCCUGGGGAGUACGGCCGCAAGGUUAAAACUCAAAGGAAUUGACGGGGACCCGCACAAGCGGUGGAUGAUGUGGAUUAAUUCGAUGCAACGCGAAAAACCUUACCUACCCUUGACAUGUGAGGAACUUGUGAGAGAUCACUUGGUGCCCGAAAGGGAACCUCAACACAGGUGCUGCAUGGCUGUCGUCAGCUCGUGUCGUGAGAUGUUGGGUUAAGUCCCGCAACGAGCGCAACCCUUGUCAUUAGUUGCUACAUUUAGUUGAGCACUCUAAUGAGACUGCCGGUGACAAACCGGAGGAAGGUGGGGAUGACGUCAAGUCCUCAUGGCCCUUAUGGGUAGGGCUUCACACGUCAUACAAUGGCGCGUACAGAGGGUUGCCAACCCGCAAGGGGGAGCUAAUCCCAGAAAGCGCGUCGUAGUCCGGAUUGUUCUCUGCAACUCGAGAACAUGAAGUCGGAAUCGCUAGUAAUCGCGGAUCAGCAUGUCGCGGUGAAUACGUUCCCGGGUCUUGUACACACCGCCCGUCACACCAUGGGAGUAGGUUUCACCAGAAGUAGCUAGCCCAACCGUAAGGAGGGC